CAAGACUUGACAUCCCGCUGACCGCUCUAGAGAUAGAGCUUCCCUUCGGGGCAGCGGUGACAGGUGGUGCAUGGUUGUCGUCAGCUCGUGUCGUGAGAUGUUGGGUUAAGUCCCGCAACGAGCGCAACCCCUAUGUUGUGUUGCUACCAUUUAGGUGAGCACUUACAACAGACUGCCGGUGACAAACCGGAGGAAGGCGGGGAUGACGUCAAAUCAUCAUGCCCCUUAUGUCUUGGGCUACACACGUGCUACAAUGGACGGUACAAAGGGUUGCGAAGCCGCGAGGUGGAGCCAAUCCCAGAAAGCCGUUCGUAGUUCGGAUUGCAGGCUGCAACUCGCCUGCAUGAAGCCGGAAUUGCUAGUAAUCGCGGAUCAGCAUGCCGCGGUGAAUUCGUUCCCGGGCCUUGUACACACCGCCCGUCACACCAUGGGAGUUGGUAACACCCGAAGUCGGUGAGGUAACUGCUUGCAGAGCCAGCCGCCUAAGGUGGGAUCGAUAACUGGGGUG
Molecule: ribosomal RNA, 508 nt
Filed under: uncultured bacterium
Lineage: Bacteria
Description: bacterial SSU rRNA
Rfam family: Bacterial small subunit ribosomal RNA
Source: RNAcentral